This 119-nucleotide ribosomal RNA is filed under the name Pteropus alecto (black flying fox). The record is from RNAcentral. Lineage: Eukaryota; Metazoa; Chordata; Mammalia; Chiroptera; Pteropodidae.
GUCUACAGCCAUGCUACCCUGAACAAGCCCGAUCCCAUCUGAUCUCGAAAGCUAAGCAGGGUCAAGAUUGGUUAGUACUUGGAUGGGAGACCACCUAGGAAGACCAGGUGCUGUAGAUA